GACGAACGCUGGCGGCGUGCUUAACACAUGCAAGUCGAACGCUGAAGCUUGGUUCUUGCGCUGGGUGGAUGAGUGGCGAACGGGUGAGUAAUACGUGAGUAACCUGCCCUUGACUCUGGGAUACGCCUGGGAAACUGGGUCUAAUACUGGAUACGACAUGCCACUUCGUGGUGGUGUGUGGAAAGGGUUUUACUGGUUUUGGAUGUGCUCACGGCCUAUCAGCUUGUUGGUGGGGUAAUGGCCUACCAAGGCGACGACGGGUAGCCGGCCUGAGAGGGUGACCGGCCACACUGGGACUGAGACACGGCCCAGACUCCUACGGGAGGCAGCAGUGGGGAAUAUUGCACAAUGGGCGGAAGCCUGAUGCAGCGACGCCGCGUGAGGGAUGACGGCCUUCGGGUUGUAAACCUCUUUCAGCACGGAAGAAGCGAGAGUGACGGUACGUGCAGAAGAAGCGCCGGCUAACUACGUG
Molecule: ribosomal RNA, 472 nt
Filed under: uncultured bacterium
Lineage: Bacteria
Description: partial 16S ribosomal RNA
Rfam family: Bacterial small subunit ribosomal RNA
Source: RNAcentral